Molecule: ribosomal RNA, 398 nt
Filed under: uncultured bacterium
Lineage: Bacteria
Description: partial 16S ribosomal RNA
Rfam family: Bacterial small subunit ribosomal RNA
Source: RNAcentral
AUACGUAGGGUGCGAGCGUUGUCCGGAAUUACUGGGCGUAAAGAGCUCGUAGGUGGUUUGUCGCGUCGUCUGUGAAAUUCCGGGGCUUGACUCCGGGCGUGCAGGCGAUACGGGCAUAACUUGAGUACUGUAGGGGAGACUGGAAUUCCUGGUGUAGCGGUGAAAUGCGCAGAUAUCAGGAUGAACACCGGUGGCGAAGGCGGGUCUCUGGGCAGUAACUGACGCUGAGGAGCGAAAGCAUGGGUAGCGAACAGGAUUAGAUACCCUGGUAGUCCAUGCCGUAAACGGUGGGCGCUAGGUGUAGGGGUCUUCCACGACUUCUGUGCCGUAGCUAACGCAUUAAGCGCCCCGCCUGGGGAGUACGGCCGCAAGGCUAAAACUCAAAGGAAUUGACGGGG